RNAcentral lists this ribosomal RNA (95 nucleotides) under Pirellulaceae bacterium. Its description in RNAcentral is "partial 16S ribosomal RNA". It matches the Rfam family "Bacterial small subunit ribosomal RNA", at positions 1440 to 1533 of the family's 1533-position model. Lineage: Bacteria; Pseudomonadati; Planctomycetota; Planctomycetia; Pirellulales; Pirellulaceae. The record is from RNAcentral.
CGCAAGGGAGGCAAGCGCCGAAGGUGAACUCCGCGAUUGGGACUAAGUCGUAACAAGGUAGCCGUAGGGGAACCUGCGGCUGGAUCACCUCCUUU